RNAcentral lists this ribosomal RNA (499 nucleotides) under uncultured soil bacterium. RNAcentral describes it as "bacterial SSU rRNA". It matches the Rfam family "Bacterial small subunit ribosomal RNA", at positions 26 to 531 of the family's 1533-position model. The record is from RNAcentral.
AGGAUGAACGCUGGCGGCGUGCUUAACACAUGCAAGUCGAACGAUGAAGCCGGAGCUUGCUCUGGUGGAUUAGUGGCGAACGGGUGAGUAACACGUGAGUAACCUGCCCUUGACUCUGGGAUAAGCACUGGAAACGGUGUCUAAUACCGGAUACGAGCUUUAGCCGCAUGGCUAGGAGCUGGAAAGAAUUUCGGUCAAGGAUGGACUCGCGGCCUAUCAGGUAGUUGGUGAGGUAACGGCCCACCAAGCCUACGACGGGUAGCCGGCCUGAGAGGGUGACCGGCCACGACUGGGAACUGAGACACGGCCCAGACUCCUACGGGAGCAGCAGUGGGAAUAGUUGCACAAUGGGCGCAAGCCUGAUGCAGCAACGCGCGUGUGGGACGACGGCCUUCGGUUGUAACCUCUUUAGAGGUAAGAAGCGAAAGUGACGGUACCUAGACAGAAAAAGCGACCGGCUAACUACGUCGCCAGACAGCCGACGGUAAUCGUGACGCGG